GUUCUUUUGUUUAUAUAAAAGAUUUGGCCUGCCCCAUGAUUUAUCAUUAAAUGGCUGCAGUAUUUUGACUGUACAAAGGUAGCAUAAUCAUUUGUCUUUUAAUUGGAGUCUAGAAUGAAUGGUUGGAUGAGGGGUAGACUUUCUUUAUUUUAAGUGAAUUAAUUUGAUUUCUAUGUCAAAAAGCGUGGAUAUUGUUAGAGGACGAGAAGACCCUAUAGAACUUUAUUAUCUGAUUUAUAGGCUUGUUUUAGUACUUUAUGUUUUAGGUUUAUAUUUUGUGGUAAUUUUAUUGGGGUGAUAGAAAAAAUAUUAUAACUUUUUCAUUUUUUUACAUUUAUAUAUGUUUGUUUUUGAUCCUUUUUUAUGGAAAAAAGAUUAAGUUACCUUAGGGAUAACAGCGUUAUUUUAUCAUAGAGUUCAUAUCGAUGAUGAAGUUUGCGACCUCGAUGUUGGAUUAAAAUAAGUGGUAGGGGUAGGUUUUUACUUUUUAGGUCUGUUCGACCUUAGAAUUUUUACA
RNAcentral lists this ribosomal RNA (517 nucleotides) under Deraeocoris mutatus. RNAcentral's name for it is "partial 16S ribosomal RNA". It matches the Rfam family "Bacterial large subunit ribosomal RNA", at positions 1831 to 2600 of the family's 2925-position model. The record is from RNAcentral. Lineage: Eukaryota; Metazoa; Arthropoda; Insecta; Hemiptera; Miridae.